GACGAACGCUGGCGGCGUGCUUAACACAUGCAAGUCGAACGGAAAGGCCCGUUUCUUGCUACUCUAGCGGCGAACGGGGGAGUAACAGUAAAGUGAGCUGCCCCUGACUUUGGGAUAACUUCAACAAACUGGGGCUAAUACUGGAAAGGAAUCCUUUCUGCAAGCUGGGGGUUGAAAAGCUACGGCGGUUUUGGGUGGACUCGCUGGUUAUCGGCUUGCUGGUGGGGUUGUGGCGUACCGAGGCGUCGACGGGUAGCAGGACUGGGGGGGCGACCGGCAACAUUGGCACUGAGAGACGGCCCAGGCUCCUACUGGAGGCAGAAGUGGGGAAUCUUGACGGAUGGGCGGAGGCCUGAUGCAGAAGCGCCGCGGGCGGGAUGACGGCCUUCGGGUUGUAAACCGCUUGCAGCAGGGGCGAAGCUUGUGGUGACGGUACCUGAAGAGAAAGCACCGGCUAACUACGUG
RNAcentral lists this ribosomal RNA (465 nucleotides) under uncultured bacterium. Its description in RNAcentral is "partial 16S ribosomal RNA". It matches the Rfam family "Bacterial small subunit ribosomal RNA", at positions 28 to 507 of the family's 1533-position model. The record is from RNAcentral.